GACCAGACUCCUACGGGAGGCAGCAGUGAGGAAUAUUGGUCAAUGGGAGAGAUCCUGAACCAGCCAAGCCGCGUGAGGGAAGACGGCCCUAUGGGUUGUAAACCUCUUUUGUCGGAGAACAAAACCCGGGACGUGUCCCGGACUGCGUGUAUCCGAAGAAAAAGCAUCGGCUAACUCCGUGCCAGCAGCCGCGGUAAUACGGAGGAUGCGAGCGUUAUCCGGAUUUAUUGGGUUUAAAGGGUGCGUAGGCGGGACGGUAAGUCAGCGGUAAAAAUGCGGAGCUCAACUCCGUCGAGCCGUUGAAACUGCCGUUCUUGAGUGAGCGAGAAGUAUGCGGAAUGCGUGGUGUAGCGGUGAAAUGCAUAGAUAUCACGCAGAACUCCGAUUGCGAAGGCAGCAUACCGGCGCUCAACUGACGCUGAAGCACGAAGGCGUGGGUAUCGAACAGGAUUAGAUACCCCAGUAA
This 466-nucleotide ribosomal RNA is filed under the name uncultured bacterium. Its description in RNAcentral is "bacterial SSU rRNA". It matches the Rfam family "Bacterial small subunit ribosomal RNA", at positions 329 to 793 of the family's 1533-position model. The record is from RNAcentral.